CGCAAAGUGUUGGGAGAGAGAAGCCACUGCUCCUUGCAGAGCAACAGGGGAAAGUCACCUCCUGGGCAACCAGGAGGCAAGUCACUGGCGCUCAGGCUGCACCCUCUGAGACCAGAGGGGUGAAAUCUGAGCUUCCCAGGCGGCAAUCAGCCUGGGGCAGGAUUUGCAGUCUCCCUUUCAAGUUGCCCUGCUGAAGGGCUGGGUCUGUGUCCCUUCUCAGAGCCCCGAGGAUCUAGGAGGAGCCCCCUUGGCGCCACCCCUGGGGACAUGCAGGGAGGACACAUCAGUUUGCUCUAUCGCAAACUCAAGGGAUGGAGUCAGCUGAAAUCAUUAGAGCACAUGUGAUUGAAGGUGUGAGGAUGAGGGGAUGGCCUUAGAGGAGAAUUGAGCAGUUAUGUUACAGGCUGAAGUAUACUCCUUGGCAGUCCAACCUCUAGUGCCUCAGAAUGUGAAUCUCUGAUGAGAGGACUUUGAAGAGGUGUUUAAAUUCAAAAUGAGAUCACCAGGAUGGGCCCUAAUCCAACACAAAUGGUGUCCAGAAGAUCUCAAGACAUAAAGGACUGAGAAGAAAGACUACAUGAGGACACAGAGAAGGAGACCAUUGUGAAUCAAAGAGAGACACUUUGAACGAAUACCUUGAUCUUGAAUUUGCUUAAAACACUUGCCAACUCUGUGAUCUGGAACUGCUGUGAAAAAUAAAUUUCUACUAAUGCUUGACA
Erinaceus europaeus (western European hedgehog) is the source of this 719-nucleotide long non-coding RNA. RefSeq lists it as uncharacterized. NCBI's taxonomy places the organism in Eukaryota, Metazoa, Chordata, Mammalia, Eulipotyphla, Erinaceidae. The transcript is spliced from 3 exons. The record is from RefSeq and is a predicted model, not a curated record.